Gossypium raimondii (Peruvian cotton) is the source of this 142-nucleotide non-coding RNA. The record is from Rfam. Lineage: Eukaryota; Viridiplantae; Streptophyta; Magnoliopsida; Malvales; Malvaceae.
UGUUAAAAAUUUUAUUUAUUUCUACUGUUAAAACUGGAAUGACUAAUAAAGAUAAUUAAACAUUAACAUAUGAUAUGCCACAUAUACCUCAUGGUUUACAAGAAUCAAUUUUUAAAAGUAAAAAUGGAUGAAAAUUUUAACA